CCCAGCUGUAGGCAACUGCUUAAGUUGCCUUGUACAUAGGCAAGUGUUUCACUGCUGGGAGAAAAGCAGCCAGUAGCUGGCAGGCAUUCUAGGUCUGGUUAAUGACAAA
This 109-nucleotide small nucleolar RNA is filed under the name Ochotona princeps (American pika). RNAcentral describes it as "Small nucleolar RNA SNORA74 (ENSOPRG00000023955.1)". Lineage: Eukaryota; Metazoa; Chordata; Mammalia; Lagomorpha; Ochotonidae. The record is from RNAcentral.